GCUUUUGUAGUUGAAUGAACAACGGCGUUUUUUCAGAUCGCAGGUCCGGCUUAAGAUUUCGGCGAAAGUU
Molecule: transfer RNA, 70 nt
Filed under: Bipes biporus
Lineage: Eukaryota; Metazoa; Chordata; Lepidosauria; Squamata; Bipedidae
Description: tRNA-Glu
Source: RNAcentral